RNAcentral lists this ribosomal RNA (460 nucleotides) under uncultured bacterium. Its description in RNAcentral is "partial 16S ribosomal RNA". It matches the Rfam family "Bacterial small subunit ribosomal RNA", at positions 338 to 795 of the family's 1533-position model. The record is from RNAcentral.
CCUACGGGAGGCAGCAGUGAGGAAUAUUGGUCAAUGGACGAGAGUCUGAACCAGCCAAGUAGCGUGAAGGAUGACUGCCCUAUGGGUUGUAAACUUCUUUUAUAAAGGAAUAAAACGAGGCACGUGUGCCUUUUUGCAUGUACUUUAUGAAUACGGAUCGGCUAACUCCGUGCCAGCAGCCGCGGUAAUACGGAGGAUCCGAGCGUUAUCCGGAUUUAUUGGGUUUAACGGGAGCGUAGAUGGGUUGUUAAGUCAGUUGUGAAAGUUUGCGGCUCAACCGUAAAAUUGCAAUUGAUACUGGCAGUCUUGAGUACAGUUGAGGUAGGCGGAAUUCGUGGUGUAGCGGUGAAAUGCUUAGAUAUCACGAAGAACCCCGAUUGCGAAGGCAGCUUACUAAACUGUGACUGACAUUGAUGCUCGAAAGUGUGGGUAGCAAACAGGAUUAGAUACCCGAGUAGUC